AGAGUUUGAUCCUGGCUCAGAUUGAACGCUGGCGGAAUGCUUUACACAUGCAAGUCGAACGGCAGCACGAGAGCUUGCUCUUGGUGGCGAGUGGCGAACGGGUGAGUAAUAUAUCGGAACGUAUCCAAUAAUGGGGGAUAACUAAUCGAAAGGUUGGCUAAUACCGCAUACGCCCUACGGGGGAAAGCAGGGGAUCUUCGGACCUUGCGUUAAUGGAGCGGCUGAUAUCUGAUUAGCUAGUAGGUGAGGUAAAGGCUCACCUAGGCUUCGAUCAGUAGCUGGUCUGAGAGGACGACCAGCCACACUGGAACUGAGACACGGUCCAGACUCCUACGGGAGGCAGCAGUGGGGAAUUUUGGACAAUGGGCGCAAGCCUGAUCCAGCCAUUCCGCGUGAGUGAAGAAGGCCUUCGGGUUGUAAAGCUCUUUCGCAAGGGAAGAAACGUGACGAGCGAAUAACUCGUCAUAAUGACGGUACCUUGAUAAGAAGCACCGGCUAACUACGUGCCAGCAGCCGCGGUAAUACGUAGGGUGCGAGCGUUAAUCGGAAUUACUGGGCGUAAAGCGUGCGCAGGCGGUUUUGUAAGUCAGAUGUGAAAUCCCCGAGCUCAACUUGGGAACUGCGUUUGAAACUACAAGGCUAGAGUAUGGUAGAGGGGGGUAGAAUUCCACGUGUAGCAGUGAAAUGCGUAGAGAUGUGGAGGAAUACCAAUGGCGAAGGCAGCCCCCUGGACUAAUACUGACGCUCAUGCACGAAAGCGUGGGGAGCAAACAGGAUUAGAUACCCUGGUAGUCCACGCCCUAAACGAUGUCUACUAGUUGUUGGGAGAGUAA
RNAcentral lists this ribosomal RNA (833 nucleotides) under marine metagenome. Its description in RNAcentral is "bacterial SSU rRNA". It matches the Rfam family "Bacterial small subunit ribosomal RNA", at positions 8 to 834 of the family's 1533-position model. The record is from RNAcentral.